Gasterosteus aculeatus aculeatus (three-spined stickleback) is the source of this 2158-nucleotide long non-coding RNA. The record is from Ensembl. Lineage: Eukaryota; Metazoa; Chordata; Actinopteri; Perciformes; Gasterosteidae.
GGCGCGGCGGUCGCGUGACGCAGCAAGGUCACGUGUUCCAGGUGUGGUCCGCGGCCGGUUUUCUCUGUGCGUGUGUAUGUAUGUGUGUGUGUGCGCGCGCGUGAGUCUCAUUUGUUUGGUAGCGCGUCCAGUCACGGAGAGGAUCCCCGAUCAUGUCUUUCGACCUGUCUGCAGCUGUUGGUGGGAGUGAAGAUGUGGUGAAGAAGGAAGAAGCUCAGAAGGAUGAGAUCUCAUGGCCCUGGAACAAGAACAAGGAUAAGGAGGGCAGCAAGGGAAAGUCCGGCAAAGACGACAAAAAGCACGAAUCUGGCAAGGACAAGUCCGACAAGAAGCACGAAUCUGGCAAGGACAAGUCCGACAAGAAGCACGAAUCUGGCAAGGACAAGUCCGACAAGAAGCACGAAUCUGGGAAGGACAAGUCCGACAAGAAGCACGAAUCUGGGAAGGACAAGUCCGACCAAAAGCACAAGUCAAAGGACGGGGAACACAAGAAGAAAAGGGACAAAGGUGAAGGAAACCAAUCUGGCUCUUCCUCAUCGUCGUCCUCCAGCAGUGACGAGGAGUGAUGCUUCCAGCGCCGAUGGUCUCUUCUAACCUCGUCUGUGAAGCAAAGUGACUGUGUGCAGUUGUACCGACGUUCCUUCCUCUUGUUGAUGUAUAAAUAAACCUGAUUGAACGCUGCUUCUCGCCAUAAACUUCCUGUGUUGCUUAAAGUGUGUUUAUUCCACCACAGCGGCGUGAAAAACCCUCACCAAGGUCGCUGUUUGUCGCUGCACGCGUUUAUAAUUGUCCGGAUCGUGUUGAGAUAACCCCCCCAAAAAAUGAGUAGUCUGUCUUUAGAAAAUGUACAUGAAUAAAUCAGUUAAAAAAAAAUGAUUAGAAAGCUACAAAACUUCAGAACAGUCGUCAUGCUGCGGACGACGUUUCAUCUCCACCUGUAGGCGUGUGUUCUGAGCAACGCGUGGAUCCUCAUCCUGCUCCAACGUUUGUCUGUUAAAAGGAACAGGAUGCUGCUGUCAGGCCCGACGGCAUUUUGCCCUCAAGAGAAAAUAAUUAAAGUGGACAUGUUUUUGUUCCAAAGCAAACAUGUUGUAUAAUGUGAACGUUCAGUCCCAGCCUUCUCCAGGGUGGAGUAGGAGUAGCAUUCUACCCCUCAUAACCGUAACACUACACUGGGUGAACGCUCAAGGGGAGCGGCGGUUUGGGGGGCGGGGUUAGGCUUGAAUCACAUGCUUGAGGUGUGGCUAAUCCAGGUACUUAAGUUUGAGUCCGUGUGGUCACUGUGGUUUGUGAACAGGAGACACGAUGGAUCGCGCAGGUAAAAAGGACAAGGGAGAGUCCAAGGGGAAGAAGGACGACAAAGCGUCCAAGGAGAAGGGCGGCAAAGACAAAAAGAAGGACGAGGAGAAGAAGAAGAAGAAGGCGAAGCCUGAAGGGAAAGGCUCCGGCUCCUCAUCUUCAGACUCUGACGAGAAGUGAUGUUGAGGCGGGAAGGACAUCUCGUCUCUCGCGAUCACGUCCACAAACAAAAUGAGUCCUGAGUAGCGCCAAAAGUGUCGUGCUUGUGUGAACAGACAUGCUGAUUCUGUCAAAAUAAAGUUCAUUUUCUCACCACAAGAUUGCAGUGUUUUAUUCAUUUUUAAGAUUUAUAAUUGAAGAUCUGGAAGCUGGCUGGGAUCGACUCCCGUCCCCCAGUGUGCAGGAUGGGCCGUUUGACGAUGGAUGAUUGAAGAGUACGAGCGAUGUUUCAUAAUACAUUUGAACUGUUAUGGUGUCAAUAUAAAACUCACGUAAGUGUCGGAGUAAAACAGUUUUCCCGUCGUAAACGUAAUGCAGUAAAGUCCAACGCUGUGUAAGGUGGGAAUACUCAAGUACAGUAGUUUUAUUAUUAAAAACUGCAAGUUACAGUGUCUCCUUGUAAUAAGGUGAGUAAACGUGGGACUAAAAAUACCGUUAACUUGUCAGUUUUGUCUUUAGAAAGUUUGUUAAAAACAACGGAUGACCGAAAGCAAAAAAACAAAGCAAUAAAUCAUAAUUCUCACGAGCCGUGAAAAAAAAAAAGGCCCGAUGAAUUGUGACCAAAAAGAAAAAAAGCAGCAACAGCAAAUGCAAUGAACAUUACAUUGCAGCUCCAUGUGACCAGAAGCUCCAUAAAAAC